RNAcentral lists this transfer RNA (57 nucleotides) under Ictidomys tridecemlineatus (thirteen-lined ground squirrel). RNAcentral describes it as "Spermophilus tridecemlineatus (thirteen-lined ground squirrel) tRNA". It matches the Rfam family "tRNA", at positions 8 to 63 of the family's 71-position model. From Rfam's summary of the family: Transfer RNA (tRNA) molecules are approximately 80 nucleotides in length. Lineage: Eukaryota; Metazoa; Chordata; Mammalia; Rodentia; Sciuridae. The record is from Rfam by way of RNAcentral.
UAGCUCAGUGGUAGAGCACUUGUCUAAUAUAUAUGAGGCCCUGGGUUCAAUCCCCAG